GCCUGGGUGGCUCAGUCGGUUAAGUGUCCGACUUCGGCUCAGGUUCGUGGUUCGUGGGUUCAAGCCCCACAUCGGGCU
RNAcentral lists this transfer RNA (78 nucleotides) under Felis catus (domestic cat). It matches the Rfam family "tRNA". Rfam says of the family: Transfer RNA (tRNA) molecules are approximately 80 nucleotides in length. Their secondary structure includes four short double-helical elements and three loops (D, anti-codon, and T loops). Further hydrogen bonds mediate the characteristic L-shaped molecular structure. tRNAs have two regions of fundamental functional importance: the anti-codon, which is responsible for specific mRNA codon recognition, and the 3' end, to which the tRNAs corresponding amino acid is attached (by aminoacyl-tRNA synthetases). tRNAs cope with the degeneracy of the genetic code in two manners: having more than one tRNA (with a specific anti-codon) for a particular amino acid; and 'wobble' base-pairing, i.e. permitting non-standard base-pairing at the 3rd anti-codon position. The record is from Rfam by way of RNAcentral. Lineage: Eukaryota; Metazoa; Chordata; Mammalia; Carnivora; Felidae.